CCCUCGAUAGCUCAGUUGGCAGAGCGGAGGACUGUAGAUGUUACAACGGUGAUUCUUAGGUUGCUGGUUCAAAUCCGGCUCGAGGGA
Molecule: transfer RNA, 87 nt
Filed under: Cordylochernes scorpioides
Lineage: Eukaryota; Metazoa; Arthropoda; Arachnida; Pseudoscorpiones; Chernetidae
Description: tRNA-Tyr
Rfam family: tRNA
About the family: Transfer RNA (tRNA) molecules are approximately 80 nucleotides in length. Their secondary structure includes four short double-helical elements and three loops (D, anti-codon, and T loops).
Source: RNAcentral